AUCAUUUCAACUAAAAUAUUUUUGGAUUAAUUUAUAUUUGCUGAAGAAAUAAUCCAAGCAUCACAAAUAGAACUUUUAAUAAGAUCAAAUAAUCUUGAUGUUACAAAAAAUCCAAAAAAUCCAAAAAAUAAAAUAAAUAAAAUAAAAUAAAAUAAAAAAUAGAUCACUUACUUCAAAAGAAAGUGAUCCAUUUCUAAAGAUAUUUAUUUAGCUUUUUUUUCUUCUUUUUUCUUCUUUUUU
This 240-nucleotide long non-coding RNA is filed under the name Physcomitrium patens. Its description in RNAcentral is "long non-coding RNA (PPAT_LNC010169)". Lineage: Eukaryota; Viridiplantae; Streptophyta; Bryopsida; Funariales; Funariaceae. The record is from RNAcentral.